Molecule: unclassified non-coding RNA, 348 nt
Filed under: soil metagenome
Description: partial contains 5.8S ribosomal RNA, internal transcribed spacer 2, and large subunit ribosomal RNA
Rfam family: 5.8S ribosomal RNA (bases 1-120)
Source: RNAcentral
GAUGAAGAACGCAGCGAAAUGCGAUAAGUAAUGUGAAUUGCAGAAUUCAGUGAAUCAUCAAAUCUUUGAACGCACAUUGCGCCCGCCAGUAUUCUGGCGGGCAUGCCUGUCUGAGCGUCAUUUCAACCCUCAUGCCCCUAGGGCGUGGUGUUGGGGAUCGGCCAAAGCCCGCGAGGGACGGCCGGCCCCUAAAUCUAGUGGCGGACCCGUCGUGGCCUCCUCUGCGAAGUAGUGAUAUUCCGCAUCGGAGAGCGACGAGCCCCUGCCGUUAAACCCCCAACUUUCCAAGGUUGACCUCAGAUCAGGUAGGAAUACCCGCUGAACUUAAGCAUAUCAAUAAGCGGAGGA